Caerostris darwini is the source of this 112-nucleotide non-coding RNA. Lineage: Eukaryota; Metazoa; Arthropoda; Arachnida; Araneae; Araneidae. The record is from the annotation of a GenBank genome assembly.
AACGGCCGUACCAUGCUGAAUAUACCGGUUCUCGUUAGAUCACCGAAGUCAAGCAUCAUUGGGCGCGGUCAGUACUUGGGAGGGUGACCACCUGGGAACACUGCGUGCCGUU